GGGCCCGUAGCUCAGCCCGGUAGAGCGGCGGGCUUUUAACCCGUAGACCAGAACCGCUGGGCGGAAGUCCCGGGUUCAAAUCCCGGCGGGCCCG
RNAcentral lists this transfer RNA (94 nucleotides) under Desulfurococcaceae archaeon AG1. It matches the Rfam family "tRNA". Rfam says of the family: Transfer RNA (tRNA) molecules are approximately 80 nucleotides in length. Lineage: Archaea; Thermoproteati; Thermoproteota; Thermoprotei; Desulfurococcales; Desulfurococcaceae. The record is from Rfam by way of RNAcentral.